AGGUGGAGGAUAGAAUUGAGCAAGAAUGCUAUAAGGUUGGUCAUGAUGUUACUUUGAUUUGCAUCUUUGAGUCACUUAGCCAAAUAUAUCCUACCUUGCCAAAGAGCCUACAUUACAACCCUCAAUAAAGACCUUUUUGAUCUUGGUUAUAGGAGCACACAUUUAGUGGUGGAGAGGUGAGACGAUUGACAAGCUUAUGGAUGAGUACAUGUUUAGCUUGAACUG
This 225-nucleotide long non-coding RNA is filed under the name Salvia miltiorrhiza (redroot sage). RNAcentral describes it as "long non-coding RNA (SMIL_LNC011623)". The record is from RNAcentral. Lineage: Eukaryota; Viridiplantae; Streptophyta; Magnoliopsida; Lamiales; Lamiaceae.